AAAAGAUUUAAUUAAAGUCUUUAUUAAUUUUUUAUUUAAUUUGAAAUAUAUGUCUAUUUAAGAAUAAAUUAUAAUUUUUCAAUAUCAAGAAUUAAAUUUAAGAGAAAUCUUUAUUUAGAAAUUUAACUUGCUAAUAAUAAAGAUUGUGCCAGCAAUUGCGGUUAUACAAUCAUUAUAAAGAAAUUUUUUUGGUUUAGUUAAUUAAUUUAUUAUAAUAUAGUUAAUAUUUUUAGGUGAAAUUUAAAUUUUAAACUUACAAUAAUUUAUAAUAAGAAUACUAAAAAUCUAUUAUUAGACUAGGAUUAGAUACCCUAUUAUAAAGCUUAAUUAAGACCUUAUGAUUAAUAGUUAUAUUCUAAAAAGUAAAAUAAUUUGGCGGUAUUUUAUCUUUUCAGAGGAACUUGCUUUAUAAUUGAUAAUCCACGAUAUGAAGAACUUAAAAUUUUAGCUUACAUAUCGUUGUUUAAAAUAUAUAAAAAAGUUAUUUUUAUAAUUUCUUACAAUAAGGUAUUUCAGAUCAAGGUGUAGUUUAUUUUUAAGUAAAAGUGAGUUACAUUAUUAAAAAAUUUGGACUAUAAAUUUAAAAUUUUAUGAAUUUGGAUUUGAGAGUAAAUUUAUAAACUUAUUUAAUUUGAAUAAGCUCUAAAAUAUGUACAUAUCGCCCGUCGCUUUCAAAUAAAUUGAAAUAAGUCGUAACAAAGUAGAUUUACCGGAAGGUGAAUCUUGAUUCAA
This 732-nucleotide non-coding RNA is filed under the name unidentified. The record is from RNAcentral.